UACGUAGGUGGCAAGCGUUGUCCGGAAUUAUUGGGCGUAAAGCGCGCGCAGGCGGCCUCUUAAGUCUGAUGUGAAAGCCCCCGGCUCAACCGGGGAGGGCCAUUGGAAACUGGGAGGCUUGAGUAUAGGAGAGAAGAGUGGAAUUCCACGUGUAGCGGUGAAAUGCGUAGAGAUGUGGAGGAACACCAGUGGCGAAGGCGACUCUUUGGCCUAUAACUGACGCUUGAGGCGCGAAAGCGUGGGGAGCAAACAGG
Molecule: ribosomal RNA, 254 nt
Filed under: uncultured bacterium
Lineage: Bacteria
Description: partial 16S ribosomal RNA
Rfam family: Bacterial small subunit ribosomal RNA
Source: RNAcentral